This 554-nucleotide ribosomal RNA is filed under the name uncultured bacterium. RNAcentral's name for it is "bacterial SSU rRNA". It matches the Rfam family "Bacterial small subunit ribosomal RNA", at positions 33 to 601 of the family's 1533-position model. The record is from RNAcentral.
ACGUGGCGGCAUGGAUUAGGCAUGCAAGUCGAACGAAUCCCGGGGUAGCAAUACCUCGGGGGAAGUGGCGAAAGGGGCAGUAAUACCUGGACAACCUACCCUGGGGAUGGGCAUAGCCGUUCUAACGAGCGGGUAAUACCCAGCGAUUCGGUUGCGGGGCAUCUCGCGGCCGGGAAAUGAGUUUCGCCUCGGGAGGGGUCCAGGCGCUAUCAGGUAGUUGGUGGGGUAACGGCCUACCAAGCCUUAGACGGCUAGCGGGUGUGAGAGCACGACCCGCGCCACUGGCACUGUGACACUGGCCAGACACCUACGGGUGGCUGCAGUCGAGGAUCUUCGUCAAUGGGCGCAAGCCUGAACGAGCGAUGCCGCGUGAGCGAUGAAGGCCUUCGGGUUGUAAAGCUCAAAAGGGGUGAGAAAGGGCAACUUGAUCGAACCCCAGUAAGCUCGGGCUAAGUUCGUGCCAGCAGCCGCGGUAAGACGAACCGAGCGAACGUUGUUCGGAAUCACUGGGCUUAAAGGGCGCGUAUGCGGGUGCUCAAGUCCGGGGUGAAAUC